ACUCAAAUGAAUAGACGGGGACUUGCACAAGCAGUGGAUUAUGUGGUUUAAUUCGACGGUAAACGAAGAACCUCACCAGGGUUUGAAACCUAGAUGAAUCGUAUGGAAACAUACGCGUCUCACAAGGACAUCUAGGCAGGUGCUGCAUGGUCGUCGUCAGUUCGUGGCUUGAGUUGUUCCCUUCAGUGGGGAAACGAACGCAACCCUCGUUGCCUGUUACAAGUGUCAGGCGAGACUGCCCCCGCAAGAGUAUUCAAUCAUUUGAAUAUUGUUGCGGGGGAGGAAGGCGAGGAUGACGCCAGAUCAGCAUGGCCCUCUGAUACCCUGGGCUACACACAUAAUACAAUCGCCGUUACAACACGACGCAAUGAGGUAACUCGGAGCAAAUCGUUAGAAAAGCGGCGCCAGUUCGGAUUGGGGUCUGCAACUCGACCCCAUGAAGCCGGAAUUGCUAGUAAUCGCAGGUCAGCUAUACUGCGGUGAAUACGUUCUCAAGUCUUGUACACACCGCCCGU
RNAcentral lists this ribosomal RNA (515 nucleotides) under uncultured bacterium. RNAcentral describes it as "partial 16S ribosomal RNA". It matches the Rfam family "Bacterial small subunit ribosomal RNA", at positions 899 to 1397 of the family's 1533-position model. The record is from RNAcentral.